ACAUCCAGAGAAUUUAGCAGAGAUGCUUUAGUGCCUUCGGGAACUCUGAGACAGGUGCUGCAUGGCUGUCGUCAGCUCGUGUUGUGAAAUGUUGGGUUAAGUCCCGNAACGAGCGCAACCCUUAUCCUUCGUUGCCAGCACGUAAUGGUGGGAACUCAAAGGAGACUGCCGGUGAUAAACCGGAGGAAGGUGGGGAUGACGUCAAGUCAUCAUGGCCCUUACGAGUAGGGCUACACACGUGCUACAAUGGCGCAUACAAAGAGAAGCGACCUCGCGAGAGCAAGCGGACCUCAUAAAGUGCGUCGUAGUCCGGAUUGGAGUCUGCAACUCGACUCCAUGAAGUCGGAAUCGCUAGUAAUCGUAAAUCAGAAUGUUACGGUGAAUACGUUCCCGGGCCUUGUACACACCGCCCGUCACACCAUGGGAGUGGGUUGCAAAAGAAGUAGAUAGCUUAACCUUCGGGAGGGCGUUUACCACUUUGUGAUUCAUGACUGGGGUGAAGUCGUAACAAGGUAGGCGUAGUGCU
This 526-nucleotide ribosomal RNA is filed under the name uncultured bacterium. RNAcentral's name for it is "bacterial SSU rRNA". It matches the Rfam family "Bacterial small subunit ribosomal RNA", at positions 984 to 1509 of the family's 1533-position model. The record is from RNAcentral.